GAUGAACGCUGGCGGCGUGCCUAAUACAUGCAAGUAGAACGCUGAAGGAGGAGCUUGCUCUUCUGGAUGAGUUGCGAACGGGUGAGUAACGCGUAGGUAACCUGCCUGGUAGCGGGGGAUAACUAUUGGAAACGAUAGCUAAUACCGCAUGACAACAGUUAUUGCAUGAUAACUGUUUAAAAGGGGCAACUGCUCCACUACCAGAUGGACCUGCGUUGUAUUAGCUAGUUGGUGAGGUAACGGCUCACCAAGGCGACGAUACAUAGCCGACCUGAGAGGGGGAUCGGCCACACUGGGACUGAGACACGGCCCAGACGCCUACGGGAGGCAGCAGUAGGGAAUCUUCGGCAAUGGACGGAAGUCUGACCGAGCAACGCCGCGUGAGUGAAGAAGGUUGUCGGAUCGUAAAGCUCGGUUGUAAGAGAAGAACGAGUGUGAGAGUGGAAAGUUCACACUGUGACGGUAUCUUACCAGAAAGGGACGGCUAACUACGUG
RNAcentral lists this ribosomal RNA (495 nucleotides) under uncultured bacterium. Its description in RNAcentral is "partial 16S ribosomal RNA". It matches the Rfam family "Bacterial small subunit ribosomal RNA", at positions 28 to 507 of the family's 1533-position model. The record is from RNAcentral.